Non-coding RNA from Podarcis lilfordi (Lilford's wall lizard), 85 nucleotides. NCBI's taxonomy places the organism in Eukaryota, Metazoa, Chordata, Lepidosauria, Squamata, Lacertidae. The record is from the annotation of a GenBank genome assembly.
UGCGCCCUCCGGGUGUCCCAAACUACAACUCCCAUCUCCCGAUUCGACACCUGGGAGUUGUAGUUUGGGACAUCUGGAGGGCACG